GCGCUCCCGCGAGUGCAGCUGUCACCGGGGCAGCGAAGCGCGCUCCGAGCUCUGCGUCUGUCUCUCAGAGAGCGCGCGCGCGCGUGUGAGAGAGAGAGAGAGAGAGAGAGAGAGAGAGAGUUUUUGUAUUUGAACAUCAUGCUUCUGCAGUUCCGUGCCGUUUUGAGGAAACGUGCGUGCAGAAUCGCUGCUUUUUAGGUGCCUUUCUCAUAUCAGGAAGAAAGAGAGAGAGUCAGUGCAAGAAGCCUCCGGAGACACACACCCACCCCCCACGCAAACACACACACACACACACACACACACACACACACACACUGCGCUUUCACUCGCGCAGAAGCCGAGGAGCGAGAGACACGCACUGCUGUGUGGUUUGGAGUGCAAACACUCAUCUGAACGCACGAGUCGUGGAUUAUUACGCUAAGAACGCUUGGAAACCAUGAGCUGGGGAACCGAGCUAUGGGACUACACCACUGGUUGACACCAGUGACAUAUGACAAACUGUGUGAAGAAUUGUACAUAAGAAGUUUGGGAAUAGAAUAAUGCCCAACAAACUGCAGUUUGAUAAUCAGAAAAACAAGAAGAAGAAUAUGAAGAAUAAACAAAAAGAGGCAGAAUCCAAAAGAUCAAGAGAUCCGAACACAGUGAAAGCUGUUAGAUGGAGCAGCAUGGAGGCUCUGAAACCAGACCUGUCUGGUGAUCAAGCUGUAGAGUGUCAUUCUGAUGUAUCAGAGAAGGUCCAGACUGAGAGAACACCAGGACCUUAAACUCCAGAAUGUGAUUGGGGUUCAUUCAUCAACCUGCACAACUUUCCUCAGUUGUCUAGGAUCUUCAGACCAUCCUCCAUGGCUGCACAUUUGGAGCUGCACAUAUUGAACAGCAGUAAUGUUAAUGAUGACUGAUCAGGAGAUAUUUCAUGAAGUGUUUUGAAUUACACUUGCAUUGUAGCCACGUUAUUUUUUCAGACCCCACGUUGGGAACCGUUGUCGUCAAACCUUUAAGUCUUUUAACUGUUGUUUAAUUGACUUCUUGAUGUUACUGAAUUUGUUUAAAAAAUGUUUUGCUCUGCUUCAUAUUUAUUUGUAUCGGUUAUCUAUUUUUACGUCAUUGUUUUAUAUUAUAAUUGCCAAUCUUUUCCACUGACUACAUAAUUUUGCAAAAAGGUUUCAAAAAUAUAAGUAGGCCUAUUGGUUUAUGAAAAAGGUGUCAAAAGUUUUAAUUACCAAGAUUAUUUGUGGUAUUUUUUUUUAAGUCUUAAAGAGACAUUGUCUCACCCAAAACUAUUAUUAUAGUAUUAAUGCCUGGUGUGAAAACAAAAAGUGGUCUGAAAUGGCUUCCUAGAGUUGAAGAUUGUAUUUAUGUUGCCACCAGCAUCAAAAGAAAUUGAAUGUAUGUACGCAUGAAUUCAAUUUCUUGAGUAUGAAGUUUAAACAUGUUCUCUGCGCAUUAUACUAAAUAAUAUUUUUUUCUGUUUAAUAUUACAGUGUUCUGGACUUUAUACUGACAUUCAUCAAUGUAGAGUCAUGCACAAGCAAAUACAUCUUAAUAGCAGGCUUCUUUGUUUCCUGUGUGAUUGAUGGUCAUGUGAUCUCUAUGGUGGCUGUUAUUUGUGGAAUAAAACUGCUUUUGCUACACCCCUGGUUGAGUCU
Cyprinus carpio (common carp) is the source of this 1646-nucleotide long non-coding RNA. Lineage: Eukaryota; Metazoa; Chordata; Actinopteri; Cypriniformes; Cyprinidae. The record is from Ensembl.